GUUACCGUUCUCUGCACGUUACCCCAUUAAUUAGUACAUAAUUAAAUUGUAAUUGUUGUUAACCCCUCAAAAGAUACCACCUGAAAUAUGAGCAGCCUAUAUCUAUAAAUAAUGAACAUGUACUGGAUUAUCGAGAUAGAGAUUGCUGACAAACCUUACAAUUGAUGCGGUUGUGUUCAUCCCUACUGAAAUGAGUCAGGAGUCAAAAUAUUAGUUCAGUGUAAAUUCACAUUUCCAACAGAACGUUAUGGUGUCAAUGACUGAUGAGUUUAUCCAUAUUCAAAUGACUCCAAAAUCAAAAUAUUUUUGUGAAUAUAAACUUAUCUUGCCACAUGUGUGAUUUUUGGAUUGAAAUGUAUCAUAAAGAGGCCAUUUCACACAAUAUAUGAAAAGAUAUUGAAAUAUAGUAAUCAAUAAAUAAUUUUCAUUAACCUGCUCUUAUGGUAUAUAAUAAUCUUAUAAGAUAACCAGUCCUGAUUUAUUUUUUUGUAUUUAAUUUGUUUAUGUAUGUGAGUAUUAGUAGAAAGUAAUCAGAAUCAUGCCUACAUUACUCUUAUUCUCUUAGUUUUACCCAGUGUAUUACCCCCAAAAAUAACAAUUUAUAAAAAU
Molecule: long non-coding RNA, 609 nt
Organism: Aethina tumida (small hive beetle)
Lineage: Eukaryota; Metazoa; Arthropoda; Insecta; Coleoptera; Nitidulidae
Exons: 3
Source: RefSeq, a predicted model, not a curated record